RNAcentral lists this long non-coding RNA (998 nucleotides) under Chinchilla lanigera (long-tailed chinchilla). RNAcentral's name for it is "lncRNA (ENSCLAG00000026283.1)". The record is from RNAcentral. Lineage: Eukaryota; Metazoa; Chordata; Mammalia; Rodentia; Chinchillidae.
CCACUGGAGAUGGUUAUUGGUCAAGCAGGCAAGCUCCCUCAAGACUGAAAAAGGCGUCCUGCCAGACAAUUACAGUCGUUAGUCGCUAGGCAACAUUACCCCCAUGAUACUAACUUUGCAAGUGUAUAAAAUAAACAUCCCUACUGUUGAAGUCAGUCCUCUUGCUCAUCAGGCAAGAGGUACCUCCACCUGACCCCAGCUCUUGUCUCUUGUCUUUAUUUUUCUCAUACCCACCGCCGUUUCUCUCCAGGGUACAACGAGAGACCAACGAUGUUCCCUACAAGCAUCUUUGAAGCCACAUGUUGUCAUUUAUCAACAAACAAGUUGAAUUAUUAUAUCUGGAAUUCCCAAGGUUGGGGCUGUAGAGAAGGCCUUUUUAAUGUCAUUGAAGGCUUUUCUUGUUCUGUGUUCAAAGUCAAAAAGUGUCAGAGUCUUUUCCAGUCAUGGAAUAAUAUAGGAAUCUUGCUUUUUGUGAACCGAAGGUUCCAGAUUUUGCAGAAGCCAGCAGCUCCAAAGAAUUUGCAGAGUUUGACCGGGAUGGAGCAGAAGCUUUGAGAAACCUGGAAGUGCAUGUGGUUGAGAAGAUGGAUGGGAUGGUUACACAUAUUAUCACCGUGGUUUCCUAAUGGAGGAGAAACACGAUCCAUGUAGAGGAAACCAAAUUUUACUUUGUGAAUUAUGCCAUUAGAGUCUUGAGUACGGAAAUGUUUGCCUCAUCAGAUUCACAAAAUACUACAUCAUGUUUUUUUCUAAAAAGUUUCAUUCUUUUAGGAUUUAUAUUUGGUCUUCCAUUUCAUUUUAGUUACUUUUUCUAUGUGCCAUGAAUUAAGGAUUAUUUUUCAUUUGUUUUUAGCAUAUUUACAUUUAAUUUUUGUGGUAUCAUGUGUUGAAAUGACUUAACCUUAUACAGUACACUUGUUUAGUAAAAUUCAAUCACCCCUAUAUGUACUUAUUUAUACUAUCAUACCAGUUAUUAAAAUAAACUUUUCAAUUUCCAC